CUUUUUUCAAUCCCAUUUCUUUCUGUACUGAAUUCUCUCCUUCCUCCCUGUCUUUCUUCCUCUGUCAAAGACGAGAGCAGGCCAGUCCCUGACAUUUUCAGGACUUAGGGCAGGAAUACAAAUGAAGGGUCCUGGCCUUCUGCCUCACCCAUUUCUCUUCCCACACCUGGAUCCAAACCAUACUAUAAGUAGCAUACACAAGGGCACCUGAGACUGUGUCCAGGUUUUGUCCAUCACUCCCUCCUCCCAGCAAAACCUCACUUCUUGGCCAUCCUUCAUCCAAGGAGAGCACACACUGAUGUCUGGUCAGCAAUGGGAGGGCAGACUUGGAGAACAGCUUUGCAGGCCUUGGAAGGGGGCUCAGGGCCAUCUGACUGGUAAUUCUACCAUCCUAGGUACCUGGAGCAUGGCCCACAAGUGGGGCAAGGGGAAGCGUGGGCUUGGGGGUCUGCACACUCAUCAUGCUGCUGCGAGGGGCAUGGACAGAGGAAAGCCACAGUGGGGUCUUCUGACACAGGGCACAUGGCAGUGGCUUGGACUGCUCAGGUUUCAGAGGGAACUGGAUGCAGGAUGCCAACACGACUGACCAGAUUCUUUGACUCAGAGUCACAUACAGUAAAGGAUCCCUUCGUCGUGUAUUAACAGGUCAUGGGCAACACUUUGAUCCUUCCUUGGUACAAGAUAGUACAAGAUAUUACCUUAGGAUAUUGACUCUCAAAAAGAUCUGAAGACUUUUGUUUGAGAUUAAAAAACAUACAGGAUGCACGAUCAGGCAGUUACAUCUUAGUGGUAAGAAUUUUUGUUUGCUACCACUUAUAAUAUCUGCAGUCCUUCUUUUUUGGAUUCAUUUGCUGAAAUAAGUUCCCUAGUUAUUCCUUCAGAAAGGACGUCAUCGGGUAAACUUUGCCCAAUCACUCAUCGUUUUUUCACAUUAAAUUUGAGUUUGAACUGGUACUGGUAACAAACUAGUAUUCAUUUUCCCUGAGCACUUGGGAGAAUUGAUCCAAUGACUGGUGGCGUGUAGAAUGAAUCGCGAUGAAACGUCUCGUCCUACCUGCUCCUCAUUCCCUUUUCUGCCAACGAUUCAUCUUCAGAAGACAAGCAGAUGAGGAGACAAAACCUACUGAUGUGGGUACCCAAGCAGGAACCCCCCUCUUGCACCGGCGACUCAAGUGGGAAGAAGAAUUCACUGAGUUGAAAUGGAGUGAGAGCUACGAUGCUCUCAGAAUAUCCUUAAAAUGUGCUGCAAAGAAGCCUGGGUGAGUAGAAGAAAAUAAAAGGAAUGGUGAAUACAAGGAAAGGUUAAAAUGAGGUAGGAACUAAAUAUUAUACUGGCACUUGGGGUUACUAUUUAUGAAUUGUUACUUUCUGGCAAUGCUCUACUCUUUUGUAUCUUCUUUGGGACAGAAAAUUCCAUAAGAAAGACCUUUCCAGGAAGAGCUUGUCCCUAAGCUUAUGGGCUCAGGGUUUGAACAAAGCGUCUCUUCCAAGACCUUGUGAAUAAUAUGCAUAUGGUCCACAUAACUUCACAAAGUAAAGUUAAAUGAACGCAUUCUUUUCUUGCUAUUAGACCCCGUUUAUCGCACUAGCUGCUGGUGAUUUGAGCGCUCCUUUCCAAGCCUCUUGAGAGUUCUGCUCUAACAACACUGCCCCCUAGUGUUCUCUCGCUUUGGUGCAACAUGGAAUACUUCUAUCAAGAGAAACAUCUCAUCAACUACUUGGGUUACUUGGAAUAAUAUGCAUAGGGAAGUUAGAAAAAAUGGUUGAUCUCUUCCUUUUAUUUGCUAGUUUUUAAAAUAACGAUUUUGGUUUCCUUGCAUUUUCCAAGGAUGAUCAAUACUAUUUUAUUUUAACAGUAUCAUUAGGAAUUCAUGAAUUUUAAUAUUUGAUGUGUUUCAGUUCAUUGCAGAGUUAACUUAAUUGCAGAGUUCUGAUAUCAACAAAGCAGUUUAUGAUAUUCCAGGUCCAUCUUGUACACUUCCUUCCAUAGACCUGUAAUCAUCUAUUUCUUCAGGGAGCCUUUGAUUCCUUUUAGUGGAAAAUGCUGCACAGUCUAUAACAACCAGUGUGUGAGAGUUUCAGCCUUCAUCCAAAUAACGAAUGUGAAACCACAAAGGAAUUCAAGCUGCAGACAACAAGGCACAUUUAAGAGUCAGAUAUUUCGAAAAGACUCCCUGGGAAUAAUCAUGGACUUUGGAGCCUAGGACAGAGGCAGGGCUUCGUGCUCCCGGGGCAGCUCCAGGAGAUGCUGACUGGAAGGGUUGAAAGGUCAAGGACUGAAGAGGGGCUGAAAAUGCAGGUUUCUCAUACUUCAUGGAGAAAUAGAAAGGACCAGAUGACAGCCACCACACAUUUUUGUCCCCAUUGCUAUAAGAUGCUUCUAACCAUCGUAAAAUUAUGAAACACUGAAUUCCUUAAAAGUUGUCCACUUGUGGAUUUAUCUGAUGCACAGAACACUGGGCCCAGACUCUUGCCAGAAGAUGCCUUUGAACUGUUUGCUGCUCACCUUUUAGUGAAAGCUCUUGACACAAAUAUUAAAGAAAAGUGUUUAAAGGACGUGCGGUCAAUGCAUUCCUGACGGUGAGUCUUUCGUGGAUUGAAAGCUCUGAAGUCCCACACUGGAAAAACACUUUGAGACCUACACAGAUAAUGGUGUGUACAACUUCAGAGGCCUGUGCUGUCUCUUGAAGUGCAUAUUGAUGCCCUAGACAGUUCUGUCAUGAUAAAAAAACAGGCUUCAGUUUUUUCCAUCUCUAAUUAAUUGGUAGUGAAGACCAAGAGCACUGUUUUGAAAUGGAUCUGAGCCCAGUUUGGUCUAAGCAGAAAAGAGUUCUAUGAUGGAUCCACACACCCUAAGUUGGGUUGAGAAAGCUGCUGGGCCAUGGGCUAUGAUUUUGAUAUCCUUACUCUGGAAAUUAAGGUAGACUACUAGCAAGUUGUGUAUGUUGACCACACACUUUCUAAUUUAUCCAGAACAUUGCUUCCAUUGAGUUGGACUUGGUCAUUAUAUCCUCAGUUUGCAUUCAGGGAAAAUUUUAAAAAGUUUCCCAUGACACCUGCCUUCACUUUUUUGUCAGAAUGUCAUCGAAAAACACUGGCCAUGUCAGAUAAAAUGUCCUUGUCAGACCUAAGUGUCAGGAAAAUCUUUGCUUCACUGAAGAAUUUUAUUCUUUCAGGACAAAAUAUGAAUGACAUAAUAUACAGUAUUCCUCUUUGCUUCUGCUUUUAGGAAUAUCAGCUUAAUGUCAAUAAUUGCAUAGCAUACUAUAACAAAAAUCAUACAAUGAUACUAAUUUUUAUUUAUCUCUCUAUCCAUGAAUCUAUCCCACUGUUGAGCUAACAAUUCUUAUAAGCCACUCCAAAUUCUUUGUGGAACAAAUCAAGAUAUAUAAAGGUAAACAAAUAAUAUUGUAUAGAUGUUAAUAUUUUAAUUCUCCCAUGAAAAAUAAAAGUUCGCCUUCCUUUGGCUUCAGAAAAUUCAUUAAUUUUCCAGCUUUAAGACUGAAGAGUAAUGAACACAUGCUAUCAGCAGAUUUAAGUAUCUGACUAACGACAGUUCAAGCCUUCCCUUUCAUAUUCCUCUCCAGUAUGACUGAAUAACUUCUUUUCCCUAGAGACAGAUAUUUAGCCUUAAAUUUUAUUAGAAGGAGAAAGAACAAAACAUUUUAAAAUAUCAAAGCAAUAUAAAUCUACAGUGGUAUUCAGAGUUGUUCAUUUUUAAUAGAAAUAAAUUACUAGUUCAAAUAACUUCUCCAAAACAAGUUUCCCAGCCCACCAAAGCAGCCGCUGGUGAGCAGCCUCACCUGUUAUCAUUAGUCUUUUCUUGUCACACUUCCCUAUUUAAGUGUGGAAUUGUUCCCAGUUCAAAGAUACAUGGGAGAGAAGUGGCUGGAUGGGUAGGAUGCACAGAAAACCUCAUGUAUAUUCUCUGGGAGAAGCUUCUGUAGAAGAAUCUAAGAGGCCACAGCAGAUGACCUCUGGGGAGGUUUGUGGCUAUCAUCAUGAAGAAAGGCUUAACUGUUACACAAAUCUUUGCAAUACUUCUGAAUUUCUUAGGCCCAGAAGGCUCUAUUGCUCAAGUUCAUUUUAAAGCACACUGGUUUCAAAACCUGCAUAAGUGUUCACUGAAUUAAAAAAAUUCUUUCUCAAGCUCUAGGUAUGCUGACAAGUUCGGUAGACCGGAAGUGUGAUACUUCUACCCGAGCGCCUCCCACAGAGUCAGCACCUCAAGGGAGAAGGCAGGGGCCCUGAGCUCCCUCCCCGGUCAGUGCCUUACUUCCUGUGUGAUCUCUGCAAAGUUAUUUAGUCAACCUCUCAGUCUCAGUUUUCUCAUACAUAAAGUAGGGAUAAAAGUCAUAUCCAACUUGCAGAUUGUGCAGAUUAAAUGCAUGUCAUGUAAAGCACAUGGAGUGUACUAAAUGCUCAAUAAAUACCAGUUCCCUCCCUUCACCUUUCAGCCCCUCGUCUCCCCAGCAAUAUUUUCAGAUGAAGAAGAGGUGAGAAUUUUCAGUCUUAUUUACACCAAAGAUCACGUUUCGUUAGUCAAAAUAAAAGUGACCGUAUAAUCUAAGGACAUAAGUGAGUUAUGUGGUCUGAGAACAGGACAGAAUAAUUAAAAGCAGGCUUGUGCUGAAAACCUGGAAAUAUGCUGCACAUCAUGUCUGCAUCCUUCCCUCACGCCUCCUUCUCUCUCCCACAGGGUAGUAGAGCAAAGAAAGUAGAACUCAGGGCAGGGCUUGUGUCUGUUUUGUUCACUGGUGUACCCCAAGUGUGGAGAAUCCUAUAGAUUUAAUGCUCAAUAGAUAUUUGAUAAACUGAAUUAAAUACUCAGAAAGAAAGCAGAAAUGUUUUGGGACUUCAUAUCCUGUUUUCCCUGCAGUUCAGCAUACAUAAAAUAAUUAUUUCUAACAAAAAAGUUAAAGAAAGUCUUUAAUUUUCUACCACAGGAAAAGGUAUUAGAUUUGUAUUCAUUUUCCUCAAGCACAUACCCAAAAAAAAUCCCCCCAAACAAAUAAACAUCAGUAAAUGAUUUCUGGAAACCCAAUGUAGCAAUAGGUUACAAAUAAAGCAAAGACUGCCCCUGCUCAAACUGCUGGUUAUCUUGCAAGGGCCUUCCAGGGUGGAGCUCUCUCACCCUCUCUUGGCCCAGCCUUAAACUUCACUCUAAGUAAGCAGAAUACAGCUGAGACAAGAGGAAGUAGUUCAUUUGCAUAAUACAAACAAAGACACCCAGGUGAAUGGUUUGCCACUUAUCAAUGUUUGCUUUGCUCAUUAGUGAAACAAUCUACCAGUAAGUCUACCUAAAGUCUAAUAGGCUAUACUUUUUUUUUUCCCCAGAAAGUUGGUCAAUGGAGAAGGCAUCAGUUGGCAUCAUUCUGUUGGACCAGUUAAUGAGGGUUUGCUUUUCAAAAGAUACUAGCAGAGAGCAUUAAUCUUAUCACUCUCUUUAAGUAUAAUCUGGACGCAGAGAAUCACUCACAUGCUUUAAGUUAGGUUGCAAAGUUUUGGGGGAAAAUGUGAGAUUUUGUUUUGUUUUUGGAUGUCUGGCAUCGGAUAAGCAAUGGAUAUUUUGGGAGCCCAAAUAUCCAUUGUUUCUCUGGAUACUAAAAAUGAUUAUAUUAAUAGAAAUAGCAGGGACUGUGAAGAUCGGCUGUGACAAGUGAUGCCGUGGUUUACUCUGACUUAGAUUUGCUUCCAUGGAGGUUUGACUGUGAGAUGGAGAUCUGUGGGGAGUUCCACUGGGGUGUGUUCUGGGCAAAACCCCUAUGACAGCAGUGAAGGAAGAAGGAUCAGGUGGGAGGGGCAUCUUGGAGUCCUGAGCCGGGAUGCCCUUCAGAACUGGCCCAAACUGAAGCAGUGGGGAUGAGUCUCAGUGGCCAGACAUUGGAUGUGGGCUGCCCAGGGAGGACGCAUGACCUCGUGUGAGGCAGCUCCCUUUGGCCAAAGGCAAUUUUCCAGAAGGGAUGCAGUGAGGGCUGUCAGCUUCCACCAAUUCCAGCAGCUGGCGGAAACAGUACCUUGGCUCUGAAGGAGUAUCUGGGUCGCCCACUACAGCAUCCACUAAAACUGGCAAGUUUAAAUAAAAUAUUUAGGAAUGAGUACUUCCUAUGUAACCUGCAUAUAAAGGACAUUUAACAAAUAUUUGUCAAAUGAAUAAAUGAGUGGUUAUUAGGAUAGAAGAAUGAUAAGUAGUGGAUUUAAACCCCAACAGAAGGGAUUUAAAUAAGGCUAAAGACAAAUACAGAACUAUAAUAAUGAACCACUCAGAGCAGAAGAACUUCCAGUCUAGAUAGCUGUAUUAUGACUUCAUCAUUGGAUUUAGUUACUCGAAUUCUGAAUUUAAGCCUUACAGCAAAAGUAGAGGGAAAAGAUGGAAAAGGGACUCCGAUUUUGGGGAUCAAGGUUCAACAAGUGAGGGUCCCCCACUCACUUGGAAAGGGCUAUCAUUCUACUACAUUAGAAUUUGCCAGAAAAACUCAAGGCUUUAAAAAGGAAAUAAUUAGUCUGUGUGAAGCAGCUGAAAGAAGUGAAAAACAUCAUUGAUUGAAUUUUUCCAAAAUUAAUGACUCUUCCUGCUUGGAGCCCUUUCAACUAAGGUAAUCAACAUCUAAAGUUCUUGUGAAGGUCAUUUCUGAGCACAGUCUAUUCUGCUCCAUCGAAUGAUCCAGUUCCUCUCCGUCUGAGUGUCUGGGCAUGCUCAUCAUGCAGUCAGCUAUCUAAUCACAAAGACAUUUUCCUGACACUACACAUUAGAAGAUGCCCCUUACUUUAUAAAGUUAUAUAAAUUAGAAUCUAUUUUAUCCAGGGGCUUAUAUGGUUAAUUUCAAAGAUGCUUUGUCUCCUUUUCUCAGUGGUCUUCAUACCAAAAUAGAUUCUAACACUUAGCCUAUAAACACUUCCGUUGCUUAAGAUUUAUCUGAUUAAAAGCUUAUAAAUAUAUAUUUUCAUAUAUUUACAAGAUAUAAUUUUUUAUGCAAAAGAGUCUUUUCUUAAAAUGAAAAGUCCUUUUAGUUUUCAUUACGCAAAUGUAUAUCUUCCAGACUUGGCUUUACAACUCUUCAAUAUCUUUGGGGAAGAAUAUUCUGUUCAUAUAAAGCAAAUAUAACUUACUGGCACCUCACGAAUUUGUUUUUGUAGCUUAGGAUAGUCAGGUUGUUUGGGGGAAUUUUUUGUUCUAAUGAUUAAAAUAUUUUGUUCUAAUUAUUAGAAUAUAUCAUUUAACUAGAUUGCAGGAUCAAUCUUUAACCAGGGUCCCUGGCUAUGCCUGUCCAGGGAAUCUAGGAAAGGAGACACAUAGGUGCGCGCACACACAUGCGCGCGCACACAUACGCGUGCGCGCACACACACACACACCCCCCCUUCCCUCCCAAAACCUGAAAUUUCACCAAGAACAAAGUAUAUGACUUAUAAAGGGCAUAUAAUUUUAUAUAUUUCAGAGAGACAUAAUACAUCAAUCAAUACAUGUAAGAUUUACAUUGGUUUGAUCUGGAAGGGUGGGACAACUCACCCUUUAUGUAGAUUUAAACAUAUUCUGAUUGGCAGCUGGUUGAAAGAGUUAUUAUCUAUAGAAAGGAAUGUCUGGGUUAUGAUAGGGGAUGUGAAGACCUAGGUUUUAUCAUGCAGAUGAAGCCUCCAAGUAGCAUGCUUCAAAAGACUGUAAAUGUUUCUCCCCAGACUUAAAGUCUGUGUUGAUGUUAAUGCUGGAGGGGUAUCGUGAGACUGUCCAGCCCCCCCAGUUCCUGUCAUGGCCUGAGCCAGUCUUUCAGGUUAAAUUUUAGAGCACCUGGCUGAGGAGGGAGCCCAUUCAAAUGGUUGUGGGAGGCCUUUGAAUUUUAUUUUUGGUUUAUCGUCCCAAGGUUUAGCUAUAUGAAUAAUAAUUCUAUGCUUUUAAAAUGUUAAUUCAUUCAUUCUACAGACUUUCUGAGUACCAUUAUGUGCCAGGUCCUGGGCUGAGGAGGAGGACCUCAUAUAAAUCAGGACUUGAUAUAGUUUGGAUAUAUGUCCCCAUCAAAUC
Molecule: RNA transcript, 8014 nt
Organism: Cercocebus atys (sooty mangabey)
Lineage: Eukaryota; Metazoa; Chordata; Mammalia; Primates; Cercopithecidae
Exons: 8
Source: RefSeq, a predicted model, not a curated record